CCUACGGGCGACAGCAGUGGGGGAUAUUGCACAAUGGGGGAAACCCUGAUGCAGCGACGCCGCGUGAGUGAAGAAGUAUUUCGGUAUGUAAAGCUCUAUCAGCAGGGAAGAAAAUGACAGUACCUGACCAAGAAGCCCCGGCUAACUACGUGCCAGCAGCCGCGGUAAUACGUAGGGGGCAAGCGUUAUCCGGAUUUAUUGGGUUUAAAGGGUGCGCAGGCGGCGAGUUAAGUCAGCGGUAAAAUUUCGGGGCUCAACCCCGACAAGCCGUUGAAACUGGCUUGCUAGAGUGGGCGAGAAGUAUGCGGAAUGCGUGGUGUAGCGGUGAAAUGCAUAGAUAUCACGCAGAACUCCGAUUGCGAAGGCAGCAUACCGGCGCCCAACUGACGCUCAGGCACGAAAGCGUGGGUAUCGAACAGGAUUAGAUACCCCAGUAGUC
This 439-nucleotide ribosomal RNA is filed under the name uncultured bacterium. RNAcentral's name for it is "partial 16S ribosomal RNA". It matches the Rfam family "Bacterial small subunit ribosomal RNA", at positions 338 to 795 of the family's 1533-position model. The record is from RNAcentral.